RNAcentral lists this transfer RNA (65 nucleotides) under Xylophaga dorsalis. RNAcentral describes it as "tRNA-Met". Lineage: Eukaryota; Metazoa; Mollusca; Bivalvia; Myida; Xylophagaidae. The record is from RNAcentral.
GGGAAGGUAAACUAAUUUAAGUUUUUAGGCUCAUAACCUGACCAUAGUGUAUAAUCUUCUUCCUG